Silurus meridionalis is the source of this 625-nucleotide long non-coding RNA. RefSeq lists it as uncharacterized. The record is from RefSeq and is a predicted model, not a curated record. The transcript is spliced from 4 exons. NCBI's taxonomy places the organism in Eukaryota, Metazoa, Chordata, Actinopteri, Siluriformes, Siluridae.
AUUCUAAACCACCGUGGGUAACAGUGUUAUAGUUUCCAUGGUAACAGCUCAUUUAUGUGACACAUGCUCCACGGCAUAACGGGUUCGACAAUGUGCUGUUUUCCCGAAGGUUGAGAAGUUCAGCUGGGAGCAUGGAAGGAGUCUCCAGGCCACCAGAUGUCGCCAAUGUGUCCCUCUGCUCUUCAAUUAUCACUCAUUGUUUUCAGCUGGUACCAAUCGUCCUUGCACAGUUCGGGACCUUGUCCCUUGUCCAGACCCUGACGUCAUCACAUCCGGCUGCUUGGAAAUCUCCUGCCAUUGCGUAUAAAAGUGUGUCGCCAUGGUAACGGAGCAGUGUGUGUUUUAUUCCUGUACACAGAGAAGUUGUUACACAUCCAAAGGAAAGAAACCAACAAACGGUUUGUAAAAACCAGACUGCCACAUUGAAACAGCUGAGUCAGGAAGUAAAAUGUUCAGCGUUGCUAUGGCUUCAAAAGAUUAUUCAUCUCAUUCUUCAUUUGGGAACCUCACACUCAGAAGUGGAGGAGAAUGUAGAGGAAGAGGAAACGUUUAUAGGCAGCGUUUGUGUUCCCCAGAGAUAAAGACUUUCCAAUUUGAACGGAAGCUUAAGGUCAGCUAUCUUCUA